AUGGGACACCUCUCUACUGGGACACCUCUCUACUGGGACACCUCUCUACUGGGACUGGGACACCUCUCUACUGGGACACCUCUCCACUGGGACUGGGACAGCUCAAAAACUGGGACACCUCUCCACUGGGACUGGGACAGCUCAAAAACUGAGACUGGGACAGCUCAAAAACUGGGACACCUCUCCACUGGGACUGGGACAGCUCAAAAACUGAGACUGGGACACCUCAAAAACUGGGACACCUCUCCACUGGGACUGGGACACCUCUCUACUGGGACACCUCUCAGCUGGGACACCUCUCAGCUGGGACACCUCUCUGCUGGGACACCUCUCUGCUGGGACACCUCUCCACUGGAACUGGGACACCUCUCUACUGGGACACCUCUCCACUGGAACUGGGACACCUCAAAAACUGGGACACCUCUCCACUGGGACUGGGACACCUCAAAAACUGGGACACCUCUCCACUGGGACUGGGACACCUCAAAAACUGAGACUGGGACACCUCAAAAACUGGGACACCUCUCCACUGGGACUGGGACACCUCAAAAACUGGGACACCUCUCAACUGGAACUGGGACACCUCUCUACUGGGACACCUCUCUACUGGGACACCUCUCCACUGGAACUGGGACACCUCUCUACUGGGACACCUCUCAGCUGGGACACCUCUCUACUGGGACACCUCUCAGCUGGGACACCUCAAAAACUGGGACACCUCUCAACUGGAACUGGGACACCUCUCUACUGGGACACCUCUCUACUGGGACACCUCUCUACUGGGACACCUCUCUGCUGGGACACCUCUCUACUGGGACACCUCUCUACUGGGACACCUCUCAGCUGGGACACCUCUCUACUGGGACACCUCUCAGCUGGGACUGGGACACCUCUCUACUGGGACACCUCUCAGCUGGGACACCUCUCUACUGGGACACCUCUCUGCUGGGACACCUCUCUACUGGGACACCUCUCUGCUGGGACACCUCUCUACUGGGACACCUCUCUAUUGGGACACCUCUCUACUGGGACACCUCUCAGCUGGGGUUGGGACACCUCUCUACUGGGACACCUCUCUACUGGGACACCUCUCAGCUGGGUUGGGACACCUCUCUACUGGGACACCUCUCUACUGGGACACCUCUCAGCUGGGGUUGGGACACCUCUCUACUGGGACACCUCUCAGCUGGGUUGGGACACCUCUCUACUGGGACACCUCUCUACUGGGACACCUCUCAGCUGGGACUGGGACACCUCUCUACUGGGACACCUCUCAGCUGGGACACCUCUCAGCUGGGACACCUCUCUACUGGGACACCUCUCUACUGGGACACCUCUCUACUGGGACACCUCUCAGCUGGGACACCUCUCUACUGGGACACCUCUCAGCUGGGACACCUCUCAGCUGGGACACCUCUCUACUGGGACACCUCUCAGCUGGGACACCUCUCUACUGGGACACCUCUCAGCUGGGACACCUCUCAGCUGGGACACCUCUCUACUGGGACACCUCUCAGCUGGGACACCUCUCUACUGGGACACCUCUCUACUGGGACACCUCUCAGCUGGGACACCUCUCAGCUGGGACACCUCUCUACUGGGACACCUCUCAGCUGGGACACCUCUCAGCUGGGACACCUCUCUACUGGGACACCUCUCAGCUGGGACACCUCUCUACUGGGACACCUCUCAGCUGGGACACCUCUCAGCUGGGACACCUCUCAGCUGGGACUGGGACACCUCUCAGCUGGGACUGGGACACCUCUCAGCUGGGACUGGGACACCUCUCUACUGGGACACCUCUCAGCUGGGGUUGGGACACCUCUCUACUGGGACACCUCUCUACUGGGACACCUCUCAGCUGGGUUGGGACACCUCUCUACUGGGACACCUCUCUACUGGGACACCUCUCAGCUGGGACUGGGACACCUCUCUACUGGGACACCUCUCAGCUGGGACACCUCUCUACUGGGACACCUCUCAGCUGGGACACCUCUCUACUGGGACACCUCUCUACUGGGACACCUCUCUACUGGGACACCUCUCAGCUGGGACACCUCUCUACUGGGACACCUCUCAGCUGGGACACCUCUCAGCUGGGACACCUCUCUACUGGGACACCUCUCAGCUGGGACACCUCUCUACUGA
This 2148-nucleotide long non-coding RNA is filed under the name Takifugu rubripes (torafugu). Its description in RNAcentral is "lncRNA (ENSTRUG00000031542.1)". Lineage: Eukaryota; Metazoa; Chordata; Actinopteri; Tetraodontiformes; Tetraodontidae. The record is from RNAcentral.